AAUGGGCGAAAGCCUGAUCCAGCCAUGCCGCGUGUGUGAAGAAGGUCUUCGGAUUGUAAAGCACUUUAAGUUGGGAGGAAGGGCAGUAAAUUAAUACUUUGCUGUUUUGACGUUACCGACAGAAUAAGCACCGGCUAACUCUGU
RNAcentral lists this ribosomal RNA (144 nucleotides) under uncultured Pseudomonas sp. RNAcentral describes it as "partial 16S ribosomal RNA". It matches the Rfam family "Bacterial small subunit ribosomal RNA", at positions 370 to 506 of the family's 1533-position model. Lineage: Bacteria; Pseudomonadati; Pseudomonadota; Gammaproteobacteria; Pseudomonadales; Pseudomonadaceae. The record is from RNAcentral.